This is a non-coding RNA of Potamilus streckersoni, 68 nucleotides long. Lineage: Eukaryota; Metazoa; Mollusca; Bivalvia; Unionida; Unionidae. The record is from the annotation of a GenBank genome assembly.
GAUGGCCUAUUGGUUAAAGCGUCCGCCUCAAAUAUGGGAGGUCGCGGGUUCGAACCCCGGACGAUUCA